Molecule: transfer RNA, 67 nt
Filed under: Geomys breviceps
Lineage: Eukaryota; Metazoa; Chordata; Mammalia; Rodentia; Geomyidae
Description: tRNA-Val
Rfam family: tRNA
About the family: Transfer RNA (tRNA) molecules are approximately 80 nucleotides in length. Their secondary structure includes four short double-helical elements and three loops (D, anti-codon, and T loops).
Source: RNAcentral
CAAAGUGUAGCUUACAUUAAAGUAUCUGACUUACACUCAGAAGAAUUCAUACAAUUGAACACUUUGA